CAGCCGUAAACAAUGUGCGUUAGGUGUGUCGGUAACCACGUGUUACUGAUGCGCCGAAGAGAAAUCGUGAAACGCACCACCUGGGAAGUACGGUCGCAAGGCUGAAACUUAAAGGAAUUGGCGGGGGAGCACCACAACAGGUGGAGCCUGCGGUUUAAUUGGAUUCAACGCCGGACAUCUCACCGGAUAAGACAGCUGAAUGAUUGUCAAUCUGAAGGUUUUACAUGACUAGCUGAGAGGUGGUGCAUGGCGUAGUCGUGU
This 261-nucleotide ribosomal RNA is filed under the name uncultured archaeon. Its description in RNAcentral is "partial 16S ribosomal RNA". It matches the Rfam family "Archaeal small subunit ribosomal RNA", at positions 748 to 1009 of the family's 1478-position model. The record is from RNAcentral.